UACGAAGGGGGCUAGCGUUGCUCGGAAUCACUGGGCGUAAAGCGCACGUAGGCGGCUUGUUAAGUCAGGGGUGAAAUCCUGGAGCUCAACUCCAGAACUGCCUUUGAUACUGGCGAGCUUGAGUCCGGGAGAGGUGAGUGGAACUGCGAGUGUAGAGGUGAAAUUCGUAGAUAUUCGCAAGAACACCAGUGGCGAAGGCGGCUCACUGGCCCGGUACUGACGCUCAUGCACGAAAGCGUGGGGAGCAAACAGG
This 253-nucleotide ribosomal RNA is filed under the name uncultured bacterium. RNAcentral describes it as "partial 16S ribosomal RNA". It matches the Rfam family "Bacterial small subunit ribosomal RNA", at positions 524 to 776 of the family's 1533-position model. The record is from RNAcentral.